GGGAAAGAUGAAAAGAACUUUGGAAAGAGAGUUAAACAGUACGUGAAAUUGUUGAAAGGGAAACGCUUGAAGUCAGUCGCAUCUGCUGGGGAUCAACCUUGCUUCUUGCUUGGCUUACUUCCUAGUUGAUGGGUCAGCAUCAAUUUUGAUCAGUGGAAAAAGUUCAAGGGAAUGUGGCACCUUUGGGUGUGUUAUAGCCUUUGUUCAUAUGCAUUGGUUGGGAUUGAGGAAUUCAGCACGCCGGCAAGGCCGGGCUCUUUGACCACGUACGUGCUUACGAUGCUGGCAUAAUGGCUUUAAUCGACCCGUCUUGAAACACGGACCAAGGAGUCUAACAUGCCCGCGAGUGUUUGGGUGGAAAACCCGGACGCGUAAUGAAAGUGAAGGUUGAGAUCCCUGUCGUGGGGAGCAUCGACGCCCGGACUAGAACUUUUGUGACGGAUCCGCGGUAGAGCGUGUAUGUUGGGACCCGAAAGAUGGUGAACUAUGCCCUGAAUA
RNAcentral lists this ribosomal RNA (498 nucleotides) under Calocybella dominicana. Its description in RNAcentral is "LSU rRNA". It matches the Rfam family "Eukaryotic large subunit ribosomal RNA", at positions 357 to 844 of the family's 3401-position model. Lineage: Eukaryota; Fungi; Basidiomycota; Agaricomycetes; Agaricales; Lyophyllaceae. The record is from RNAcentral.